RNAcentral lists this ribosomal RNA (579 nucleotides) under Triticum aestivum (bread wheat). RNAcentral describes it as "partial small subunit ribosomal RNA". Lineage: Eukaryota; Viridiplantae; Streptophyta; Magnoliopsida; Poales; Poaceae. The record is from RNAcentral.
AUGUGCGAUUACACAGGCCAGAAAAAUGAUCCUCUACGGCACAGUCCUGACGACUUACCUCAGGAUGUCGUUGAUGACAUGACCAAGUCUCUUCUGAACGAGAGCCUGGCAGAUUGCGGGAAAGCGGGCUUAAGUCCUUUCUGCAAGGCUAACCCGGCUCCAGCGGCUGGUGAUAAAUUCUGGAAGGUCAAGUAUGACCAUGAGGCUGCAAAGAAAGCCAGAAAGGCCAAGAAAGCCGCCAGGAAAGCCGCUGCCCGUAAGAAGGGGAACAAACCUAGCGCCUCGGAUAUGUUUCAUCUGGACGAUACCUCCGAUUCAGAGGAGGAUACAGGAGCAAGUCAUGCAGUAAUUGAAGAGGUAACUAUAAUUUCCUCCGACUCCGAGCCUUUGCCGAGACAGAAAGUCCGAAGGGUAACCCGGAAAGCCGCCAUUAAGCAAUUUGAAUCGGAGAUCUCUGACUUGAAGAAUCGCCUGAAAACUCAAGAGAGUGAAACCCAAAAGGCGAAUUUCAAGUUUGAAUUCAGUGUAUCCGCACAAGAGAAAUUGAAAAAGAAGUUUGAAGCAGAGAGAAAGGCCUAG